Molecule: ribosomal RNA, 463 nt
Filed under: uncultured bacterium
Lineage: Bacteria
Description: partial 16S ribosomal RNA
Rfam family: Bacterial small subunit ribosomal RNA
Source: RNAcentral
GAUGAACGCUGACAGAAUGCUUAACACAUGCAAGUCGAUGGGGAAGUGGUGCUUGCACCAUGGCAACCAUGGCGGACGGGUGAGUAACGCGUAAGGGACUUACCUGCAGGACUGGGAUAACAGGGGGAAACUCCUGACAAGACCGGAUAAUGUCAUGGAGCUGCAUGGCUUUAUGAUGAAAGGAGACGCCUGCGGAGAGCCUUGCGUCCUAUUAGCUAGUUGGUGAGGUAAUGGCUCACCAAGGCGAAGAUAGGUAGCCGGCCUGAGAGGGUGGACGGCCACAAGGGGACUGAGAUACGGCCCUUACUCCUACGGGAGGCAGCAGUGGGGAAUAUUGGACAAUGGGGGCAACCCUGAUCCAGCAAUUCUGUGUGCACGAAGAAGGUUUUCGGAUUGUAAAGUGCUUGCAGCAGGGAAGAAGUAAGUGACGGUACCUGCAGAAGAAGCGACGGCUAAAUACGUG